This 116-nucleotide small RNA is filed under the name Mytilus galloprovincialis (Mediterranean mussel). Lineage: Eukaryota; Metazoa; Mollusca; Bivalvia; Mytilida; Mytilidae. The record is from RNAcentral.
GACAAGAUUGACUUUUGUGAGACAAAAUUGACUUUUGUGAAACAAAAUAUAAUUUUGUGAGACAAAAUUCAAUUUGUCAAUUUUGUCUCACAAAAGUCAAUUUUGUCAAUUUUGUC